CCUACGGGGGGCAGCAGUGAGGAAUAUUGGUCAAUGGCCGGAAGGCUGAACCAGCCAAGUCGCGUGAGGGAAUAAGGCCCUAUGGGUCGUAAACCUCUUUUGUCAGGGAGCAAAGGCGUCCACGUGUGGACGAGAGGAGAGUACCUGAAGAAAAAGCAUCGGCUAACUCCGUGCCAGCAGCCGCGGUAAUACGGAGGUCUCAAGCGUUGUUCGCAAUCACUGGGCGUAAAGCGUGCGUAGGCUGUUUCGUAAGUCGUGUGUGAAAGGCGCGGGCUCAACCCCGGCGAGCCGUUGAAACUGGCUGUCUUGAGAUGUCGAGAGGUAUGCGGAAUGCGCAGUGUAGCGGUGAAAUGCUUAGAUAUUGCGCAGAACUCCGAUUGCGAAGGCAGCAUACCGGCGGCGAUCUGACGCUGAGGCACGAAAGCGUGGGUAUCGAACAGGAUUAGAUACCCGAGUAGUC
RNAcentral lists this ribosomal RNA (460 nucleotides) under uncultured bacterium. RNAcentral's name for it is "partial 16S ribosomal RNA". It matches the Rfam family "Bacterial small subunit ribosomal RNA", at positions 338 to 795 of the family's 1533-position model. The record is from RNAcentral.